GCGUCCAUAGCUCAGGUGGAUAGAGCAACAGCCUUCUAAGCUGUGGGCCGCAGGUUCGAGUCCUGCUGGACGCAACA
Molecule: transfer RNA, 77 nt
Filed under: Spirochaetia bacterium
Lineage: Bacteria; Pseudomonadati; Spirochaetota; Spirochaetia
Description: tRNA-Arg
Rfam family: tRNA
About the family: Transfer RNA (tRNA) molecules are approximately 80 nucleotides in length.
Source: RNAcentral